This 512-nucleotide long non-coding RNA is filed under the name Mus caroli (Ryukyu mouse). RNAcentral's name for it is "lncRNA (MGP_CAROLIEiJ_G0003444.1)". The record is from RNAcentral. Lineage: Eukaryota; Metazoa; Chordata; Mammalia; Rodentia; Muridae.
GAACUCCUCAGAGGGCACCACCCUGGACAGAAUGGUCCUGGAGUUCCUCCCUUCUCCCAGCAGGGCAGGAGUUUAUUUAAAGUACAAGACUGUGGGAAGGUGUGCCGCUGAGAAGAGAGACACUGAAAAGGUGCACCAGUGCAAUGCCUGCUGUUUGAGGAAAGCCUGAUGACUCCUUUACAGUAACAGGCAUGAACCUAAGGCCUGGCAUGCAACCAGCAUUGCACUCCCUGAGAGCCUUCCACAAAAACACAGAACUGGCCCAUGCUCUCUCGCUCUCUCAGCCUCUUGACCUCCCUGUCUCCAGUGAUCUACAUUCCUGCUCUAAUCUCAGUCAUCACUCCUGCUCCCCCUCCAGAACCAGGAAGUUAAAAUCCCCAGGCUCUGACCACCAACUGCUCACUUUCCAAAUUGCUGGCCAACCCCAUGUGCCCCAAGGGUAGGGGCAAAUUUGUAAAUUCAGCUCGAUGUUAAACCAUAAACCAUUAAACCAUUAAACCAAUUACAUAAAA